This 468-nucleotide ribosomal RNA is filed under the name uncultured bacterium. RNAcentral describes it as "partial 16S ribosomal RNA". It matches the Rfam family "Bacterial small subunit ribosomal RNA", at positions 28 to 507 of the family's 1533-position model. The record is from RNAcentral.
GAUGAACGCUGGCGGCGUGCUUAACACAUGCAAGUCGAACGGAAAGGCCCAAGCUUGCUUGGGUACUCGAGUGGCGAACGGGUGAGUAACACGUGGGUGAUCUGCCCUGCACUUCGGGAUAAGCCUGGGAAACUGGGUCUAAUACUGGAUAGGACCACUUCUUGGAUGGUGUGGUGGAAAGUUUUUUCGGUGUGGGAUGAGCUCGCGGCCUAUCAGCUUGUUGGUGGGGUAAUGGCCUACCAAGGCGUCGACGGGUAGCCGGCCUGAGAGGGUGUACGGCCACAUUGGGACUGAGAUACGGCCCAGACUCCGACGGGAGGCAGCAGUGGGGAAUAUUGCACAAUGGGCGCAAGCCUGAUGCAGCGACGCCGCGUGGGGGAUGACGGCCUUCGGGUUGUAAACUCCUUUCGCUAGGGACGAAGCGUUUUUGUGACGGUACCUGGAGAAGAAGCACCGGCUAACUACGUG